UACGUAGGGUCCAAGCGUUAAUCGGAAUUACUGGGCGUAAAGCGUGCGCAGGCGGUUGUGCAAGACCGAUGUGAAAGCCCCGAGCUUAACUUGGGAAUUGCAUUGGUGACUGCACGGCUAGAGUGUGUCAGAGGGGGGUAGAAUUCCACGUGUAGCAGUGAAAUGCGUAGAGAUGUGGAGGAAUACCGAUGGCGAAGGCAGCCCCCUGGGAUAACACUGACGCUCAUGCACGAAAGCGUGGGGAGCAAACAGGAUUAGAAACCCCCGUAGUCC
This 273-nucleotide ribosomal RNA is filed under the name uncultured Ralstonia sp. RNAcentral describes it as "partial 16S ribosomal RNA". It matches the Rfam family "Bacterial small subunit ribosomal RNA", at positions 524 to 796 of the family's 1533-position model. Lineage: Bacteria; Pseudomonadati; Pseudomonadota; Betaproteobacteria; Burkholderiales; Burkholderiaceae. The record is from RNAcentral.